UGCGUGAAGUCGGAAUUGCUAGUAAUCGCGGAUCAGCAUGCCGCGGUGAAUACGUUCCCGGGCCUUGUACACACCGCCCGUCACACCAUGAGAGCCGGUAAUACCCGAAGUCAGUAGUCUAACCGCAAGGAGGACGCUGCCGAAGGUAGGAUUGGCGAUUGGGGUGAAGUCGUAACAAGGUAAC
Molecule: ribosomal RNA, 184 nt
Filed under: uncultured bacterium
Lineage: Bacteria
Description: partial 16S ribosomal RNA
Rfam family: Bacterial small subunit ribosomal RNA
Source: RNAcentral